GGGGAUCCCAAGUGCGUAGGCAUAGAGCCUACGCUUUUGUCCACCCUAGGGUGGUGGACGAAUAAGGGCUGGGCAAGACCGGUGCCAGCCGCCGCGGUAAUACCGGCAGCCCGAGUGAUGGCCGAUCUUAUUGGGCCUAAAGCGUCCGUAGCUGGCCGCACAAGUCCAUCGGGAAAUCCACCUGCUCAACAGGUGGGCGUCCGGUGGAAACUGUGUGGCUUGGGACCGGAAGGCGCGACGGGUACGUCCGGGGUAGGAGUGAAAUCCCGUAAUCCUGGACGGACCGCCGAUGGCGAAAGCACGUCGCGAAAACGGAUCCGACAGUGAGGGACGAAAGCUAGGGUCUCGAACCGGAUUAGAUACCCGGGUAGUCCUAGCCGUAAACACUGCCUGAUAGGUGUGGCACCCACUACGAGUGGGUGCUGUGCCGUAGGGAAGCCGCUAAGCAG
This 449-nucleotide ribosomal RNA is filed under the name uncultured haloarchaeon. Its description in RNAcentral is "bacterial SSU rRNA". It matches the Rfam family "Archaeal small subunit ribosomal RNA", at positions 374 to 822 of the family's 1478-position model. The record is from RNAcentral. Lineage: Archaea; Methanobacteriati; Methanobacteriota; Halobacteria; Halobacteriales; Halobacteriaceae.